GGUGGCCGGUUUCUUUAAAUCUCAUAGAGUGUAGGGGUGACCGGCGCCGUCCCUGGUGGCGGAGCCACGACAGAUUAAAAGGCAUUGGCCUCACGCACUUAACAUAGAUUCUGAUUCCUGUUGGUAAGGGCUUUUGAUUGCUUGGCUGUGAUCUAUAUGUGAGCCUCCUGGUAUUUUGCUACAAUUUUGUUGGUUGGCUGUGGUAAUGGGUUCUGCCGCAAGGCUAUGAUGAUCUCAAAAGUCUUUUUUGGUGAUGAUGGUGUGGCAAUGAUGGUGGAUGGUAGGUUUUGACCUGCAACCCACCUUGCAGGCAUGAUUUCCGGUAGAUCUGAGCCACGUAGUUUUGAUGUACUUUUUUUAAACGUGCUUCAACAUGGGUACAAGUGAAGUGGCUAUAACCACAUUGAAGCAGCUGUGGACAAAGAAG
RNAcentral lists this long non-coding RNA (427 nucleotides) under Helianthus annuus (common sunflower). Its description in RNAcentral is "sRNA HanXRQr2_Chr08g0354911". Lineage: Eukaryota; Viridiplantae; Streptophyta; Magnoliopsida; Asterales; Asteraceae. The record is from RNAcentral.